GGGCGAUUAGCUCAGGGGGAGAGCGCUGCCUUCACACGGCAGAGGUCACUGGUUCAAUCCCAGUAUCGCCCACCA
This 75-nucleotide transfer RNA is filed under the name Gammaproteobacteria bacterium. RNAcentral's name for it is "tRNA-Val". It matches the Rfam family "tRNA". Rfam says of the family: Transfer RNA (tRNA) molecules are approximately 80 nucleotides in length. Their secondary structure includes four short double-helical elements and three loops (D, anti-codon, and T loops). Lineage: Bacteria; Pseudomonadati; Pseudomonadota; Gammaproteobacteria. The record is from RNAcentral.